ACAGCAGUCGCCACGGUAAUACAGAGGGCGCGAGCGUUACCCGGAUUUACUGGGCGUAAAGGGCGUGUAGGCGGCCUGGGGCGUCCCAUGUGAAAGGCCACGGCUCAACCGUGGAGGAGCGUGGGAUACGCUCAGGCUAGAGGGUGGGAGAGGGUGGUGGAAUUCCCGGAGUAGCGGUGAAAUGCGCAGAUACCGGGAGGAACGCCGAUGGCGAAGGCAGCCACCUGGUCCACUUCUGACGCUGAGGCGCGAAAGCGUGGGGAGCAAACAGGAUUAGAUCCCCAGUAGUCCCUGUCUCUUAUACA
Molecule: ribosomal RNA, 305 nt
Filed under: uncultured bacterium
Lineage: Bacteria
Description: partial 16S ribosomal RNA
Rfam family: Bacterial small subunit ribosomal RNA
Source: RNAcentral